Molecule: ribosomal RNA, 2037 nt
Filed under: Leishmania infantum
Lineage: Eukaryota; Euglenozoa; Kinetoplastea; Trypanosomatida; Trypanosomatidae
Description: nucleolar_RNA_helicase_II_-_putative
Source: RNAcentral
AUGCCGCGUCGCGCGCGCGAGGAGAGUGAGGAGGAGAAACCGCACCGCAUCACGAAGCUCGCCGGCAGCAGCGACGACGAUGUGCCGGUGAAGGCGUCGAAGAUCUCCGCCAAGGCGUCGGACCACGGCAACGGCGUUGCUGUAGAGAAACGGAAGCGCACGGAGGGGAGCUGCAAGGUUGCUGUCACUUCGGCGACGGCACCGGCGGAGGAGAAGGACGAGGAGGUGCCGAACAACGGCUGCGCCGCCACAGCGCGCCCGUUCUCGGAGUUCGAGAUGAACCCCAUCGUCGUCAAGGCGCUGCAGUCACGCGGCAUCGAGUCUAUGUUUCCUGUGCAGGCUCUCACCUUUAACGCCAUCAUGAGGAACACGGACGUCCUCGUGCAGGCCCGCACCGGCAGCGGCAAGACACUCGCGUUCGGUAUCCCGAUCGUGGAGCGGCUGCUGAAGCUGCCGAGCCACUUCACCCGCGGCCGCGGCCCGGCUGCCGUGAUCUUCUGCCCUACUCGUGAGCUGGCCAUCCAGGUGCAGGAUGUGCUCUGCGGGAUCAGCUGCGGGCUCGUCGUGACGGCCCUGUACGGCGGUGUUGCCUACGCGAAUCAGGAGCGCGUGCUGCGCAGCGGCGUCGACAUUGUGGUGGCCACCCCCGGCCGCGCGAAGGACUUUCUAGAGAAGGGCACGCUGCAUUUUGACCGCGUUGUGAUGGCGUGCCUGGACGAGGCGGACCACAUGCUGGACAUCGGCUUCAAGGACGACAUUGAGUUGCUGCUCUCGCAGGUGGCCGAGCAGAACGGCUCUGUCGGCGCUGAAAGGCCAGUUCAUCAGACGCUGCUGUUCUCCGCGACGGUGCCGGAGUGGGUGCACACGUGCUCCUUCAUCGCCAAGGACAAGGAGUUCAUCGACAUGGUCGGCAAGGAGGCUGUGCGGACAGCGAGCACGAUCAAGUUCUAUCGCAGAAAAUGCAACUUCAGCGAGAUCUCCUCUAUGCUCGCUGAUCUCAUCAAGGUGUACAGCGGUGCCCACGGCCGCACUCUCGUCUUCACCAACACAAAGAAGGACUGCCACGACUUGUCCAUCAACAACACCAAACUGGACUCGCAGUGCCUGCACGGUGAUAUGCAGCAGGAGCAGCGCGAGAGUACCAUGAAGAGCUUCCGCGACAACAAGUUCAGCGUCCUCAUCGCCACCGACGUGGCGGCCCGCGGUCUCGACCUGCCCAUGGUGGACCUGGUUAUUCAGUGCGCUCCACCGAGCGACAUCGACGCUUUCAUUCACCGCGCCGGCCGUACGGGACGCGCUGGCCGCAAGGGUGUGUGCGUGCUGCUCUACCAACCGCGCGAGGAGUACGUUGUCGAGCGCAUCGAGCGCCACGCGAAAAUGAAGUUUGACGUCCUGCCGGCACCCACGCGUGAAGAGAUUCUCAAGGCCGUCGCCCGUGAUGCCGCUGAGGACCUGGCGCGCGUCGAGCGCCGUGCAACCGACCUCUUCAUGGAUCAGGCAGCCGAGCUGCUGAAGGACGCAGACCCAGUCGAAAUCCUGGCCUCGGCGCUCGCCGUCAUGAGCGGCUACACGUCGAACAUCACCACGCGCGGUCUCAUUACUGGCACGCCAGGGUAUGUGACGGUGCAGAUGACGUCGGAUCGACCGCUGCCCGUUCCGGUGUACUGCAGCAUCCUCCGAAACAACCUCGGCGAUGAAACGUUCAUGCGGUGCCGCGACAUUACACUGUUGCAGGACGACCCGGGCUGCGUCUUCGAUGUGCUGGAGCAGUUUGCCGAGCGUGUCAUGAGCACACCGAUGCGCGGUAUCACCUUCCAGCGGAUCGAGACCCUUCCUCCGAUCAUCGCGCGCGAGCUCAACAGCAGCCGCGGCGGUCGCAGUGGCUUUAACUACGGAGGCGGUCGCGGUGGCUUCAAUAACGGCGGCGGCUACGGCAGUGGGCGUGGUGGCUUCGGCGGCUACGGGGGGGGUCGCGGCGGCGGUCGCGGCGGCGGCCGCGGCGGUGGGCGUGGUGGCGGUUUCCAGCGCCGCUACUGA